Suricata suricatta (meerkat) is the source of this 510-nucleotide long non-coding RNA. RefSeq lists it as uncharacterized. The record is from RefSeq and is a predicted model, not a curated record. NCBI's taxonomy places the organism in Eukaryota, Metazoa, Chordata, Mammalia, Carnivora, Herpestidae. The transcript is spliced from 2 exons.
GACUUGCAGCAGGAGCAUUGUGAGGCCUCCCUCCUGUCAGAUUCUGCAGGGGAAAUGCCACUUCUCUCUCUUGGGGGGAGAAUUUUAGAGAUGAAAUGGUGGUGUGAGCGUGUCAUUGGUGGGCGCCAUGCACAUGUCUAAGUCACGGAGCCAGCCUGCCAGCGAAGGGAGGCGGCAUGUACAAAGAGUUAACUGAAAUUGGUUCCACAUGAUGGAAAGAAUCGUGAGCUCUAGCUUCUAAGCAAGAUUACCUGUUUUGUAUAAGAAUUGUUUAAAAGAGGCUAAAUGUGUAUUUAGAAGUUCGUAUCUCAGAUGGAACAGAAAUAAAAGGUCACUGCAUUUGGCUCUUCUAGACCUUCCUGGCUGCCCCCCCCCUCCCUCUAAUCUGAAGCUUCUAAAUACAUCUUUCCCUUCCUCCAGGGGGAAUCCAUAAGCUGGGUUAUAAAGUCCCGAUUAAAUUAUGCUUAUUUUGCAUAAUAAGAAAAUAAAAUGUUUGACUUUGAUACCUUA